GAGUUUGAUCCUGGCUCAGGAUGAACGCUGGCGGCGUGCUUAACACAUGCAAGUCGAACGAAACACCUUAUUUGAUUUUCUUCGGAACUGAAGAUUUGGUGAUUGAGUGGCGGACGGGUGAGUAACGCGUGGGUAACCUGCCCCACAGCCGGGGACAACUUCCCGAAAGGGAGGCUAAUACCGGAUACGAACCGGGCAUCGCAUGAUGCCGGGUUGAAAGAUGGCCUCUAUGUAUACGCUAUCGCUGUGGGAUGGGCCUGCGUCCGAUUAGCUGGUUGGUGAGGUAACGGCCUACCAAGGCGACGAUCCAUAGCCGGCCUGAGAGGGUGAACGGCCACAUUGGGACUGAGACACGGCCCAGACUCCUACGGGAGGCAGCAGUGGGGAAUAUUGCAAAUGGGGGAAACCCUGAUGCAGCGACGCCGCGUGGAGGAAGAAGGUCUUCGGAUUGUAAACUCCUGUUGUUGAGGAAGAUAAUGACGGUACUCAACAAGGAAGUGACGGCUAACUACGUGCCAGCCGCCGCGGUAAUAC
Molecule: ribosomal RNA, 534 nt
Filed under: uncultured bacterium
Lineage: Bacteria
Description: bacterial SSU rRNA
Rfam family: Bacterial small subunit ribosomal RNA
Source: RNAcentral